This 368-nucleotide long non-coding RNA is filed under the name Gouania willdenowi (blunt-snouted clingfish). RNAcentral's name for it is "lncRNA (ENSGWIG00000014983.1)". Lineage: Eukaryota; Metazoa; Chordata; Actinopteri; Blenniiformes; Gobiesocidae. The record is from RNAcentral.
ACAAACUCGGGGUCAGAGCGGCUGCUCUGGUUUCUCACGUUUUUUCCACCUCAGUGUUUAGUUGUGUUUUAGUUGCGUUUUUCUUGCCAAAACUAUGGAUGAACAACGGGCUGCUGUGGAAAACACAGCGGGAACACGUUUGUUGGUGAAAGUGGAAGCUUUAGAGAAAACGCAUUCAUCUGCUGAUGAGGAGGACAAGCAGCGUCACAUCCAGAGACACGAGCACAAAGGGAUCUUCACGUUUGAUCCCGAGUCAAAAAUGGAGAAUCUCACUACGACGAGGGAAGAUUUUGCUGCUCCUAAAAAGCUGGGGUGAGAAGAUGAAGGCUGACACGUACCCUACGACGCCUGAAAGCGUCUACCGCACC